Molecule: RNA transcript, 4145 nt
Organism: Pyrus x bretschneideri (Chinese white pear)
Lineage: Eukaryota; Viridiplantae; Streptophyta; Magnoliopsida; Rosales; Rosaceae
Exons: 19
Source: RefSeq, a predicted model, not a curated record
ACUCAGUGAGGUGUACUGUGGAUGACCAGUGGGCGGACGAUUUUGCCCCUCGCUCUCCCGUUGUGUGGCUUGCUUCGUGCAGUGGAAAGACAGUUUGCCCAUUCUUUCCACGCGUCCGUCAUCGUGCUUAAGGAACAGUUGCCCGGCUUGCCCACAUGUCCAUCAUCACUGGACCUGCUUUCGGCUUCUUCAGUGCUUUUCGCCUUUCUCUCUCACCAUUCUCAGUUUUUGCUAUUAUGAACCCUGGCUUUCUUUGUCUCGAAAACGGCGGUUUGUCUCGCUCAUCAACCUUGCCGUCUCUCUCACAAAUUAUCAACAACGAUGGUCUCUUGCCGGAAAAAGCACUCAGCUAGAACUUUUUUCGAUUUUUCAUUCGAAUCGAUUCAAUUUUUUACCCAAAAAAGUUAGUGUUUACUGGCUCGGAUCCUUCCUCAUCUUCUUCAUCCAAACCAGUAGCCCCACCUUCGAUUAUUACCGACGGAAACAUGACAUAUUAAGGCGCAACAACAAUACUGUAACACUUAUAAGAAAGAGCUCCAAACCUGCGAAGAUUCGUUCGAACACCUGCAGGAAGAAAUAAUAAGGCCGUUGAAGCGUAGAACGUAGGUUUACUUUGAUGCCAAGGUUAUGAAAAAAGAGUGGUUUGUACAUUAGCUAAGUACAUAUAAGUAUAUAUCUCUGUGUAUGUGUUUGUAUCAUUUGUUUUGAUUGCGAUUCUUGGUUUUGCGAUUAGGAUUUUUGGAAGGAGGCUUCGAUUCAAUUAUUGGAACAGAUAAUAUUUAUCGAAAAAUUCAAUGGGUCAGUAGAAGCUGGCUGCUUGCAAAGACAAGAACAUCAGUAUAUAUGCAUUGGAAUUUGUUGCGCUAGGAUAUGAAGAAGUGGAAAGGUACCUGGUGGAAUGUGAGUUUUGCUGCUUAAGACACAGAAUGUUGUUUGGAAGCAUAACUAUGUCUGCAAGAGAUUUACUGAGGAUCCGGAUUGCAUCAUGUUCUGAAUGAGCUUGAAAGAGGAGUUGCUCUUCAUCUGACAAUUGCAUCGCAUAAUAGGUUUUGUUAAUCUACCCAUGGUGGAACCCAGCUGUUGAGAGGCUACCAUAAGAUAGAAUCCACCAGAUAGGGCAGUACAAACCGAUCAGGCACACAUUUUUCUCCAGUUCUGUAAGGACAAGGUGUGGAUUGGAUAGCAGGAUCUGGUUGGAAGACAAGAUUUUGUGAAAGAAAGGAUUUGUGUUCGUGCAAGUGAUUUCAGACAGAUUUCAAGCUGGGGUGUAGAGUUUUGAUUCAAAUUGGUGGAUUUGGGAAAAUGAAGGAAGAGAAAGAAUUAAAUUCUGGAUUUAUCAAACACUUUGUAGAUAUUCCAUGCAUUUUUGCAGCUGGAAUCUUUUGGAGAUGCAAUCUAACUGAUUGUAAAAGAUGUCGACUAUGUUGAACAAAAAAUAGAAACUGCAUGUCUGUAUUAUGAGAGGAAAUGGAGAGCAAUCUGUCUCAGUUUUGGAAUGUGCUAGAAUCAAAGAAGCUAACUCAAGCUGCUAUUUCAAAGCUGGAGGAGGCAUUGUUGAUUAAUCCUAGGAAAUAUGAUGCUCUGUGGUGCUGGGAAAUGCUUAAAUUGCUUGCGCAAUGCACUCUGGACCAGAAUGAAGCAAAGGUUCCAAAAGGUGUUGUACUGCUUCCAGAAGGCUUCCAACGAGGAUAAAUGGAAAAGGCACAGCCAACUCCUAUUCAUCAGUUAAAAUCAUACACCAAAGCAAAAAAAAUCAAAAUCCGGUUAUGCAGGAUAUGGAAAUCGAUAAUCCCAGGCACUGUUCAAAAAUAUACAGCUUUGAACUGUAUAUUAGUUGAUGAAAUGGUGAGAUUAUUGAUUCAUUAUUUUAAUCAAAGACGGUAAUACUAAUAAUUAACUAGCCAGAAAAUAUUUUUCUACCCCUAUUUUUUAGAUGUUGGGGAAUAAAAUUUAAGUAUGCCGUGUUACACAAAAUGAACAGAUCAGUGUUUUCUUACCUUUUUUUAUGAAUUUUUUAUUUUCUUACCUUUUUUUCAUGGUGUUACAUUUUUUUUUUCUUAAAUUUUUUGGCAUUCAUACAUUUCUUUUCAAGUGUUGAUUAAAAUAAUUUAACUAUUUUCGAUAAUUCUUUUUCCUCAUGCUAACAAUUUGAUAAGUGUGUUGUUCUUUGUGUUAUUGAUAGUAUAAUCUAUUUUUUUAUUUAUUUUUUAAUUACUUUUGUAACUUUUUUUCCUUCUCUGUCUUGGCAUGAUAAAUUGUGAAGCAAGAUGCCGUUGAGGCGACCACAUUAAAUGUUGAGUAUGAUGUUAUGGUUGCGAAGAUUGAAGCUGGUGGAUGCUAUGAAAUCAUUGAUUUCCAUACCAGUAAAAUCAAGGGACAAUACAAAGUAGUCCCGCAUGAAACUCAAGUUUUGUUUAAUGCGGAAACAAAAUUUAAAAAAUUGGCCAGUGUGUUUCCACCCAUCCCUCGCCAUCGGUUCUUUCUACAAGAUUGCAACACACUUUACCCUCGCUUGGACAAGGUUGACAUCCUUACAUGUACUGUUAACAUGUCUAUGCAUAUAAAUCCAUUCAAACGCGUUGGUAUUUAUUUUCUAAAGUAGUAUUUAACAAUGUGCUUAUAUUUAUGUUUUAAAUUAUAAGAUGUUAUCGGUUGUAUAAGAGUCGUACAGUCCUUGGAAGAAAAACAGAUUAAUCAGAGGGUUGCAUACAAAUGUGAUGUGCACAUUCAGAAUAUAAGAAAAGAAGAACUCACGGUUACGUUAUGGGCAGACAUUGGUGAAGCUUUUUCUUUUUUGUCAACAGAGGCAUUUUCGCUGCCAGUCGUGGUUGUUUUCACAAGUUUAAAAGUCAGGCGCUACCUAGGCAAGAUUGUCUUAAACAGUACCAAUUCAUCACUUUUUUUCAUUGAUCCAGACAUCCCGGAAGUGAAUUCCUACAAGUUUUCCAACUGCAAAGAAUUUCCAAAAAUAUUGCCUUCAUCUUCAGACCAGGCAAAUGAAGCUAAACUUCUAUAGACUGCGAAAAAAGUUACAAUUGAUGAAUUGGCUUUCUUGGAUCCAGAUUUGUACAAGGAUGAGACAUUUCUAUGUAAAGCAGCUAUGAAGCAUUUUGACACACGUUACGAUUGGUGGUAUAGUGCCUGCCCCAUUUGUGUUAAACAAAUGCAUAAGGACCCAACAACUGCACAUCUAAUUUGUCAAAAACACCCAAAUCAAAUUCCAACACCUUGGUAUAAGGUCAAUCUGAUACUCGAAGAUGAAACCAAUGAGAUUGAUGCUUUGAUAAUUGGAAAAUGUGGUGAAAAACUUUUUGGCAUGAGCUGCAAAGAUUUGGUUCUGAAUCAGACAUUGGUGGACCAUCAUCAAUUACCAAAUGAAUUUCUUAGACUAAUCGGGCAAAAGAAAAUUUUCCAUCUGCGGUUUGGAAAUAGAAGAAAUAAUUUCAAUCCAAGCAAUGUCCUCAUUCACAAUGUAAUCGACGAUACAACCAUGCAACCAGCAACUCCACUGCCUUUGCCAAGAGAAAUCACAGGGUCUUCCACGACGGUUUCGUCUUCUAAUUCAAGUGCUGAAACUACUGCACAAUCGAAUAAAAGGAAGAGGGAAUCAAUCAAGAGGACUCUUUUCACCAACAAUGAGCAAAGAGAAAUGGAAGAAGUUUCAGAGGCGGAUCCAAGGGAGUUUGAUGAAGUUCCAAUAAAGUUGCUCAAAAAGAAAUCGUCACCAACUAGCGGAAAACUUGGUACCACUCCUGAAAAAACCAACUAGCUUGCUUGCUUAAGGAUGAACGAUGCAGUGCCAAAACUCAUCUCUGAUACUGAAACGCAGUAACCGUUUUUUGUUAAUAUGUAUCAAACAAUAUUGAUAAUAUUUGGCUGCCAUGUAAAUGUCUCUCUGGUCUGGACUUCAUAAUAUUUUUUGCAUGUACAAUAUUUGGCUGCCAUGUAAAUGUCUCUCUGGUCUGGACUUCAUAAUAUUUUUUGUAUGUACAUGCUGGUUCCACUUGAGAGGUAGAUGCAAGUGGUAGAAUCCAAUCAGUCACUUUAUGUUUUUUUUUUUUUGUCUAUCUGUAAAGAAAUAGGUUUUAAUCUUUUGUAUCUGGAUUGUACAAAUUUAAUAUUUUAUAUAUAAACCGCUUCCAACA